GGCGGCGUACCCAAGUGGUUAAUGGAGCAGUCUGCAAAACUGCCAUUCAGCGGUUCGAAUCCGCUCGCCGCCUCCA
Molecule: transfer RNA, 76 nt
Filed under: Deltaproteobacteria bacterium
Lineage: Bacteria; Pseudomonadati; Myxococcota; Myxococcia
Description: tRNA-Cys
Rfam family: tRNA
About the family: Transfer RNA (tRNA) molecules are approximately 80 nucleotides in length. Their secondary structure includes four short double-helical elements and three loops (D, anti-codon, and T loops).
Source: RNAcentral